CCCGAGAGAGGUUCUGGGCUCAGCAACCUGUGCUGGGAAAAGGAGCAGCAGGCAGCCCUGGCAAGUCUCAGCGAGGUGGUCUGCCCCCAGGGAAUGGGUGAGGAUGCCCCUGUGAGACUGCAGUACCAGCCCCCCCUCCAUCAGCCACACCCCAGUACUGUCAUCCAUUCCUGAGAGCCCCACCCCAGCUUUUAAAGUCACAGUGUUAGAUUGUGACUGGGGUUACAGAUGGGACUUGUCAUGCCUGGCUUCUAAGUGGGUUCUAGCAUCUGAACUAAAGUGCUGGCGCUUGUAUGGCAGGAACUCUACCAGGUGCUGGAAGACUCGGGUCCUCUACCAACAAGACACCCAAAAGGGACACAUACGACCCAAGGCAUGGACAGUUCUCCUGAAGGCACAGGGUGAUGCUUACUUAGCAGUCUGAGUCAGUGAGGAAGCCACUGAGUCACCAAAGAUGGGACUUCAUCAGGAAGAGUGCCGGUCCCUGACUCCUCUGGGCAUACCUUCGUCUUGAGAAGCAGAGGUCCCACCCUGGGCUGGGUUUCUUAUUUCCUGGCACACGGCUGUGAGAACAAUCCCACUGGUCAGAAUCCCCGAUGUCUGUCCAGGCUGAGAGUGGUGCCUCGAAGGAGGCUGGGGUGGAGUGCCUCAUUGUGGAGUCCUCGAAGGGAGGGAGGAGACACACCCACAAUUCUAUCACCAACACCCUGAAACCCACAGUGUCUUCCCAGGGACACCCCAGAAGCAUGAGAGGUGCCUGUGAACUAGAGGGUACUGUCUGAUUGACAACCAGUUCUUACUUAAUGCGAAGAGGGAGCAAAGCAAACUCGGACACAGGCCAGCUCCAGGGCUCAGAUAUGGUUCGUUAGCUGAUUUUGUUUGUUUGUUUGGAAUAAAGUCUUAACACAUAUCCCA
This is a long non-coding RNA of Mesocricetus auratus (golden hamster), 915 nucleotides long. RefSeq lists it as uncharacterized. NCBI's taxonomy places the organism in Eukaryota, Metazoa, Chordata, Mammalia, Rodentia, Cricetidae. The transcript is spliced from 3 exons. The record is from RefSeq and is a predicted model, not a curated record.